AUUCCAGCUCCAAUAGCGUAUAUUAAAGUUGUUGCGGUUAAAAAGCUCGUAGUUGGAUCUCAGUUCCGGACCCGCAGUGCGCCCUCGGCGAUUUACUGUGAGUCCGAACAGCUCGUCGGCUCGCACGGGGUGUUCUUUAUCGGGUGUCCCGCGUGGCCGGCACGUUUACUUUGAAAAAAUUAGAGUGCUCAAAGCAGGCUAAUGCCUGAAUAGUUGUGCAUGGAAUAAUGGAAUAGGACCUCGGUUCUAUUUUGUUGGUUUUCGGAACCCGAGGUAAUGAUUAAUAGAGACGGACGGGGGCAUUCGUAUUGCGACGCUAGAGGUGAAAUUCUUAGACCGUCGCAAGACGUACUACUGCGAAAGCAUUUGCCAAGAACGUUCUCAUUAAUCAAGAACGAAAGUUAGAGGUUCGAAGGCGAUCAGAUACCGCCCUAGUUCUAACCAUAAACGAUGCUGACUAGCGAUCCGUCUGUGUUAAUCCCAUGACUAGACGGGCAGCUUCCGGGAAACCAAAGUCUUUGAGUUCCGGGGGAAGUAUGGUUGCAAAGCUGAAACUUAAAGGAAUUGACGGAAGGGCACCACCAGGAGUGGAGCCUGCGGCUUAAUUUGACUCAACACGGGGAACCUCACCAGGCCCGGACGCCGGAAGGAUUGACAGAUUGAGAGCUC
RNAcentral lists this ribosomal RNA (669 nucleotides) under uncultured metazoan. RNAcentral describes it as "SSU rRNA". It matches the Rfam family "Eukaryotic small subunit ribosomal RNA", at positions 582 to 1257 of the family's 1831-position model. The record is from RNAcentral. Lineage: Eukaryota; Metazoa.